RNAcentral lists this long non-coding RNA (215 nucleotides) under Elaeis guineensis (African oil palm). Its description in RNAcentral is "long non-coding RNA (EGUI_LNC001325)". The record is from RNAcentral. Lineage: Eukaryota; Viridiplantae; Streptophyta; Magnoliopsida; Arecales; Arecaceae.
UGACCAUUCAUCAUGAUAUAUUGAGAGGCCAUCCAUCGAAGUCAUUUGGCUUCUGAGGGAUCUGUAGGGAGAGUCCCAUCAGUCAGAUACUGGACGAUCAGAUCCAUCCAACUCGGUUCAAUAGUAAGUUGUAACACUUUAUUGACUUUGUUGAUACUUGGCUGUUUGAGACAUUCAACGAAUGUCCAAUCCAGCGAGUUGAAGGAAGUAGUUGC